RNAcentral lists this ribosomal RNA (303 nucleotides) under Triticum aestivum (bread wheat). RNAcentral's name for it is "partial small subunit ribosomal RNA". The record is from RNAcentral. Lineage: Eukaryota; Viridiplantae; Streptophyta; Magnoliopsida; Poales; Poaceae.
AUGCUGGGAAGCGGAUGGCAAGACAAGAUGGAUUUUUUGCUCGUGCGAUUGCAAGGAGGGAUAAACUUGGGCGACAGAGACACCGCCGAAUCGGUGGAUUUCUAUAUCUAUAUCUAUAUCUAUACCUUAUAUAGUGUGAAUAACUUUGAAAGAUGGUCGUUGGAUGAAAUCAAUCCGACGGUGCAAAGAUGGCAAAUCCGAGCACUACUGGCCGUUGGAUAUCAUCUACAUUCCAUCAGAUUUUGCCAUAUAUACAAUCUAGAAGACUCCAUGGUUGAAUUUAAGCAUAAUGCACAAACCUGA